Non-coding RNA from Delphinapterus leucas (beluga whale), 2336 nucleotides. Lineage: Eukaryota; Metazoa; Chordata; Mammalia; Artiodactyla; Monodontidae. The record is from RefSeq and is a predicted model, not a curated record.
UGGAAGUGCAGAGUCCUAAUCACUAGACUGCCAGGGAAUUCCCGAGAAACCAAACAUUCUGAUUGGACAUGGCCUUUUCUUUUUACCAAAAGCUCAGCUGCCUUUAGAUGCUGUCAACUUACCUAGAAGAUGGAACUAGACUUUUCCCAAGUCGCUGGGCCUGAUAGGGGCAGACAGGACAAAUACUCAUUCCUAAAUAUUUCUACGACCUUAAAAUGACUAGCUACCUUACGGGGUGGCCGCUUCAUUUAGGAUUUAUCUGAUUACCACCUGUCGGGGAAAACCUGUAUGUAGAGGAGUAACUAUACACACAAACUGCUUUUGCAUAAUAUGGAAAAUGAAAUUCUUCUUCCUGUGUCUUCUUAGGUGUUCGGUUUCAACAAUAUUUAAGGAGUGUGAUUAUGUUUGACUUCGGUUUUGUGGUAUAAAGCACUGUUACAGGUACCUUCCAAUAUAAGUCAGCUGAAAAGAAGGUGGAGCCAGAAAUGAAUUGGAGGAUGGAUACGGGAGGAUGCUGAGGACGUCUCUUGGACUAGCACAGACUGGCUACACAAUUUGCAGGGCCCAGUGCAAAAUGACAAUGUGGGGUCCCUUAUUCGAAAGUGCUUACGAAUUUCAAGACAGCGACAGAGCACUAAACGUCAGCACAAGGCCCUCUAAGCAGGGGCGUUGUGAAACUGGACACACGCCCAGGACGCUGGCCCUGGACUAUUUUUAUGUGGAACAUUCUCUCAUAAACGGAGACUUCAAUGGGAGAUGUAGAAGAACUCAGCAAGAUCUAAAAGGAUUCCAAGAGAUCAAAAAUUUGGGGCUAUACGAAUCAUUUCCAGGAUAGAAAUUCAAAGGUAAAAGAUUACUUUGCUUUUACCCUUGUGAUCUGGAAAGGGUUAGGGUGGAGUUUCUUCGAGCCUCUGGGGCCGCCCAGCAUGGGUGUGGCUUUAUGAUUUAACAAGAGUUUGCUUGAACCCUCCUAAAUUACCUCAGCCUAUUGAAUUGGAAAAUUCACCGAAGAAUGAAAAGACUCGGUAACAAAGAGGUUUGGUUUGUUCAUGAAAGUAAGUAGCUUGUGAGAUGCUUUAUUUUCCUGUGACUGAAAAUUCCAGCUUGUAAUUCCCAAUAAAGAUGGCUUCAAGCUACUCAUUAGUACAAAUCAAACCUGUUUCACCACUCUCAUAGGAGAAAGGCAAAACGUCUUUAUUCGCCAACCUUGGGCCAUCCCCCUCUUUGAAGGUAGCUCUGAGAUUAGGCCUGUAAUGGAGACAAAGGCUUAGCUAACUGUGGGGUGGGUACAGGGUGGAAUCAGGCAGGGGAGGCGAAGUGUAGGCGUCCACAAGGGGCAAUCUUAGUUGCUACCGAGAAGGUCCAGAACCGUCCAAAAAGACAAUAAAGUUUCUGUAAACAAAGGACACUUUCUAAGCCCCGAGAUGUCAUUUCCUUCUCAUUGGAGAAAAAGAAGGUGGGCAGUGGGUAGGAAGGGGGAGGUCGGAGAGGAGAAGGUAGUUUUAGGGGAAAGGAUGUGAGAGCACACUUUGAGUGGGAAGUGAAUAGUUCCAUUUUAUGGCAUUAAAAUAGGGAUUAAAACAAAAUCACUUAAGAAGCAACCCUAGAAUCUGGUAAACUAUUAACCAGACUUUCUGAGUGCAUUAAUUACAGAGUCAUUAUAAGAACUUGGUUGCUAGGAGCUUUGAGGUGGAUCAAAUGGGAUGGGAGUUGCUGUUGGGCUACGUUUUAUAGUCUCUGAAGGAAAUGUUUCCAUUGCAUUGUCUCCCGUUUGCGUUGGGGAUAAAUAUGAUUUUCUCAGCAUUUAGGACACACUUCCUCAAUCCUCCUCGACUCUAGCUGACGUGUUGCCAAAGAAGCACUUCAGCCUAUAAUAACCAGCAGCAAAGCCACCUACCGGAUUGUUGCUGGCCUUUCCCGCGAGGAUGACCCGGGCCUUAACCUUGUUCAUGUUGAAGUUCUUCAAGUAGGCCUCGUAAAUCCUCUUGGCGAGAGAUUUGAGAUCUGCGGUUUCAGAAUUUUCUAGGUCAUGUUCACAUGUAAGGAUUUCUGCUUUCAAUUUUGCUUUUUCCGAUCUUGGCAUUCGUCCGAAACGAAUCGCUGGGGGUCGGAGGGGAGAAACGGAAGAACGGAGAACACAGAGAAAUGAACAACGAAACACGGCACGAGGACUAACGGCUGGACGAAAGGUUCACACCACGGGUUAGACUGUGAGCAAACAUGCAUGGGUAAGUUACCAUCCACUUCUCAGCACUAUUCAGCUUUCUCCCUUGGAGAGAUGAAAAUAAACCUCAAACCCCAUAUAUCCUGGACUUUUUAAAAAGCUUGAAAUUAAA